UUAGGCAAGACAGAAUGACUCCUUUUGCAGAUGUUCUAUGGUGGACAGAAGACUCAGGACAUAACAGAGAAGUCCUCCAGCUGUACCUGCAAUUAGGAUUUUUCAUGCUCUAAUGGUUGCACUUGUCCUUUCUACAUCAUUUACGGCUGAGUACUGUCACUAAUAUGCUAACUUGUCCAGGCAGCCCACAAGUCUGUCAUGUUGACAAACCUGGAAAGAGUGCUGAAAGGAAGACAAGAAUAUUUACCAAUACUACUGUAUUUCCUGAUCUGAAAGGAUCUUAAAAAGACUAGAGCUUUAGCCAGAGAUCCAGGAGAGCUGCCUUUAAUUCACCGUUCCAGCACAGACUUUCCAGUUCCUUACACUGGUGAAAUCGAAAAGAUUCCAGUGUCCUGCUGGCUCGGCAAUUGUUAAGAUUCUGCUGUUUCCUGGAAGAUCCCCUUUUGCCUUGAGAAUUUUGAUUGCUUCAAGAAAAGCCCCCUACAAGACAAUGAAGAAGAAAUACAAAGAAAAGAAACUAGAAAUAGGUGUGUAAAUGUACAAAUCUGUCUUCAGAUUGUCAUCUGCAUGACAUCAGUGUUAAUGAGGAGACAUUCAUAAACAUCAUCAGAGAGUGACAGAAUCCAGUUACUCCACUCUCCUCUUCUACAAUGGAUGAACAAUUUGUUGGAGGUGUUUGUAGCUCUUCACUGACUGCAGAGGACACACAGACAGCUAGUUAAGGCUAGAUUAAACUUCAAGAUUAAACUGUCCUUGCAAGAACUAAAAUUAGGAGUUGUAUGACAUUUCUACGCUCUUAAAAACAAACCCAGCUUUGAAUGUCUUGGUUUUCUGAAAACAGAAUUCCACUGCUUUUGAAAUUAUUAUUCUCUUUAUUCCUUCAGAGUGUGAAUGAUGGAAAAUUAUUAGACAUUGGUUAUAUCUUAAUAAAAAGUGCUUAAAAAGCAAGAAGUAUUUAUAUAGUAUCCUAUUAAUCUAAAUUAAACUCAGUUAAGUCCUUCUGGGAUUCUUACAUGGUAUAUUCCAUCCUUAAUGUGUUCACAUAUCUUCCUUUACUGUUAGACUGAAGUAUGUGUAUGUAUCAAGAGAAAAUGACUUCCAUGGGGUUUCAUUUUAAAACUGGAUGUGCAAAUCCUAUUUUUAGGUCAAAUUUUGAAGUCCUUAAUAAGUAUUUUCUGUGUCAUCAUUCCAUCAAGGUUUCUGCAGACCCCUUUUUCCUUUUAAUGAUUUGAUCUCUGGUUACUGUUACUUUCACAUCUAAUUUUUCUGGUAUGUAAAUGUAUCUCUUAAUAUAAAGUUUUAUUUGCAAUGCAAUUUAGGCUGCUUAGGGGUAUUUUAUUUUUAUUUUGUUUUGCUUGCUCUCUAUGGUUUGUAGAUA
Poecile atricapillus (Black-capped chickadee) is the source of this 1378-nucleotide long non-coding RNA. RefSeq lists it as uncharacterized. The record is from RefSeq and is a predicted model, not a curated record. The transcript has 5 exons. NCBI's taxonomy places the organism in Eukaryota, Metazoa, Chordata, Aves, Passeriformes, Paridae.